GCACCGGUAGAUCAGUGGUAGAUCAUGAGAUUGCAGUAACCUCUGGUUGUGUAUAUCUUAGGGUCCUGUGUUCGAACCACAGUCGGUGCU
Aspergillus terreus NIH2624 is the source of this 90-nucleotide non-coding RNA. NCBI's taxonomy places the organism in Eukaryota, Fungi, Ascomycota, Eurotiomycetes, Eurotiales, Aspergillaceae. The record is from the annotation of a RefSeq genome assembly.